GCUCAGGUCCCCUUCCACGCUGUGGAAGCUUUGUUCUUUUGCUCUUCACAAUAAAUCUUGCUGCUGCUCACUCUUUGGGUCCAUGCCACCUUUAAGAGCUGUAACACUCCCCGCAAAGGUCCACAGCUUCAUUCUUGAAGUCAGCAAGACCAAGAACCCACCAGAAGGAACCAACUCUGGACACAUCUUGGCAACCACAAAGGGACCAUCGCCAAGCAGAUCCAGGCCAUCAAGCUACAGAUGGUCUUACAAAUGGAACCCCAAAUGAGCUCAACCAACAACUUCUACCGAGGACCCCUGGACCGACCCACUGGCCUUUUGACUGGCCUAAAGAGCUUCCCUCUGGAGGACACUACAACUGCAGGGUCCUUUCUUCACCCCAUCCAGCAGGAAGUAGCUAGAGCAGUCAUCGCCCAAUUCCCAAUAGGAGUUGGGUUGUCCUGUUUAGAGAGGGGACUGAGAGGUGAAGCCAGCUGGAUUUCCUGGGUCAAGUGGGGACUUGGAGAACUUUUGUGUCUAGCUAAAGGAUUGUAAAUGCACCAAGCAGCACUCUGUAAAAACGCACCAAUCAGCGCUCUAUGUAUAGCUAAAGGAUUGUAAAUGCACCAAUCAGCACUCUGUAAAAACACACCAAUCAGCACUCUGUCUACCAAAAGGAUUGUGAAUGCACCAAUCAGCACUCUGUAAAAACGCACCAAUCAGCACUCUGGGUCCAGCUGAAGGACUGUAAAUGCACCAAUCAGCACUCUUUAAAAAUGCACCAAUCAGCACUCUGUAAAAACGCACCAAUCAGCACUGAGUCUAGCUAAAGGACUGUAAAUGCACCAAUCGGCACUCUGUAAAAACAUACCAAUCAGCGCUCUGUGUCUAGCUAAAGGUUUGUAAACACACCAAUCAGCACUCUGUAAAACGGACCAAUCAGCACUCUGUAAAAUGGACCAAUCAGCACUCUGUAACAUGGACCAAACAGAAGGACAUAGGCGGGGACAAAUAAGAGAAUAAAAGCUGGCCAACCCAGCCAGCAGCAGCAACCCGCUCAGGUCCCCUUCCAUGCUGUGGAAGCUUUGUUCUUUCAUUCUUCACAAUAAAUCUUGCUGCUGCUCACUCUUUCGGUCCGUGCCACCUUUAAGAGCUGUUAACACUCACCACGAAGGUCUGCAGCUUCAUUCUUGAAGUCAGCGAGACCAAGAACCCACCAGAAGAAACCAACUCCAGACACACAAGGACUGUCAGAAUCAUUUGAUCUGGGGUUACUCAAGGAUCUGACCAUUUAUAGGCUUUCCAGUUAAAGGGGUGCUAGGGUCCCCUUGACAAUCUGGAGCAUGUUCAAUUUGUUUUUUAAUAACAUUUUUAAUUAAUAAAUUUUUGAUUUUAGGCAGACAGAUAAGCAUAUAUUAGUUUUGUAUUUUAGACAAUAGGAAAUGUAUAUAUGACUCAAUUCCAGUACUAGAAUAGGUAGCUGAAAAUUCUAGAAGAUUCCACAUUGGUUCAAUAAUUUUCCUUACUUGAAAUUCUUCUCUUUGCUUCCACUGACAUACAGCCAAACUGAUUAUUUUGGCUUGACUUUAUAUUUUAUUUAAAUGGGUUAUUUCUGUCAUUUCUGCUAUCAUUCUGUGUUUAAAUUUAAAGGCUCAGUACUAUGGAGACACAUUGUAGGAACAUCUAUGAGGUGCUGC
This 1676-nucleotide long non-coding RNA is filed under the name Homo sapiens (human). Its description in RNAcentral is "HSALNT0292034". The record is from RNAcentral. Lineage: Eukaryota; Metazoa; Chordata; Mammalia; Primates; Hominidae.